GAUUACGGCCAUACCACACUGACAACGCCCGAUCUCGUCUGAUCUCGGAAGCUAAGCAGAGUUGGGCUGGGUUAGUACUUGGAUAGGUGACCUCCUGGGAAUACCCGGAGCUUUAAGCA
This 119-nucleotide ribosomal RNA is filed under the name Cottoperca gobio. The record is from RNAcentral. Lineage: Eukaryota; Metazoa; Chordata; Actinopteri; Perciformes; Bovichtidae.